CUUCAGAGAGAGCCUGCCGACGAUGAUCGGUUUUCCGCUGCUUCUGAUUCCGUUCGCGAUCUACAACAUCUUCGUGUUCCUGAUGCCGGGCGUGGCGUUCACCGCGCCGGUCGCNNNNNNNNNNNNNGUGUGCAGUGGGCGCCGACGUUCGGCGAUGCGCUGCUGGCGCUGACAGCGCUUCUCCUGAUGUUCGAAGUCAUCAAGGCCGCGCGUCCCGGCGCGCGAUACCUGACCGAUCAUUUGCUGUCGCUGGUUGUGUCAGGCGCUGCGGGGGCGGGGGUUCUGCUGC
RNAcentral lists this unclassified non-coding RNA (289 nucleotides) under Hevea brasiliensis (rubber tree). Lineage: Eukaryota; Viridiplantae; Streptophyta; Magnoliopsida; Malpighiales; Euphorbiaceae. The record is from RNAcentral.